Molecule: ribosomal RNA, 771 nt
Filed under: uncultured Neocallimastigales
Lineage: Eukaryota; Fungi; Neocallimastigomycota; Neocallimastigomycetes; Neocallimastigales
Description: partial large subunit ribosomal RNA
Rfam family: Eukaryotic large subunit ribosomal RNA (bases 4-661)
Source: RNAcentral
GUACACGCUGUGACUAGCAUAUCAAUAAGCGGAGGAAAAGAAACUAACUAGGAUUCCCUCAGUAACGGCGAGUGAAGCGGGAAGAGCUCAAAUUUGAAAUCUUCAAGGUUCUACCUUGACGAAUUGUAGUUUAAAGAAGUGUUUUCUGUUGGAGUUUUGGUAAAAGUUCUUUGGAAUAGGACAUCAUAGAGGGUGAGAAUCCCGUAUUUGACCAUUAUUUCCAGCUUUGUGAUACACUUUCAAAGAGUCGGAUUGUUUGGGAAUGCAGUCCAAAAUGGGUGGUAAAUUUCAUCUAAAGCUAAAUAUUGGCGAGAGACCGAUAGCGAACAAGUACCGUGAGGGAAAGAUGAAAAGAACUUUGAAAAGAGAGUUAAAUAGUACGUGAAAUUGUCAAAAGGGAAGCGUUUAACACCAGUGUUGUUUUCUGAAAAUCAACCUCUGUUAGCUUUAUGCAUGUUUGUUUAGACCUAAUCAGCUAUCUUUCAUGUUCUAUUGUUUGCAGUGGUGCACUUUUCAGUUUACAGGUCAACAUCAGUUUUUUUUACCGUAAAAAAGUUAAAGAAAGGUAGCUCAUGGCUCCGGUCGUGAGUGUUAUAGUCUUUUUCCUAUGCGGUAGGAGAGACUGAGGUCUGCAGUGUAGGCUAUUUGGCUAGAUACUCAGGUGCUAUGUGAUACCAUUUCAUAAACAACUUGUUGAUUAUGUUUUGUCUAUUGCAUACUCGCUUGUACUAUCAUACCUACGCUUAGGAUGUUGAAGACUCUACAGAGAUA